CAAAAGGCUCCAUUUGGGGUGGAGCCACAAAUCAAGAGUUAAAAAUAAAUU
Felis catus (domestic cat) is the source of this 51-nucleotide non-coding RNA. Lineage: Eukaryota; Metazoa; Chordata; Mammalia; Carnivora; Felidae. The record is from Rfam.